Molecule: ribosomal RNA, 253 nt
Filed under: uncultured bacterium
Lineage: Bacteria
Description: partial 16S ribosomal RNA
Rfam family: Bacterial small subunit ribosomal RNA
Source: RNAcentral
UACGUAGGGGGCAAGCGUUGUCCGGAUUUAUUGGGCGUAAAGAGCGUGUAGGCGGUUCGGUAGGUCCGUUGUGAAAACUCGAGGCUCAACCUCGAGACGCCGAUGGAAACCCUCGAACUAGAGUCCGGAAGAGGAGAAUGGAAUUCCUGGUGUAGCGGUGAAAUGCGCAGUUAUCAGGAAGAACACCCGCGGCUAAGGCGGUUCUCUAGUACGGUACUGACGCUGAGACGCGAAAGCGUGGGGAGCGAACAGG